ACAAUUAAUAGACACUGCAGUAAAUAAAACUGAAUAAAAACAUCUGUCCUGUCCAGGACCGGAGUGCUCCAUAGCCAAUCAAAGCUACAGUAGGCCUAUAUGCAAAUUAGCAAUUUGCCACAUGGGCCUGCCAUCAUUCACUUUGAACUGGACUGUGUGUUUACAGGCUGUAGCAACAGCGUGACUUUAGAUCAUUAGAACACAUUUGCCAAAAGCCACAAAAUACACCUGAAAGGAUUUCUGCAUUUGGGAACUUCACAGUCCUAUUGAUCAAACAACCAUGAAAAGUCUUGUCUCAUUGCUGCAACUCCCCAACGGGAUCGGGAGAGGCGAAGGUCGAGUCAUGCAUCCUCUGAAGCAUGACCAGGCAAACCUCACUCCUUAAGCGUGCAAAAUAAAAAAACACAAAGCAACAAUCGCCACUACAUUAUUAUAACCUCAUAACCUGUCACAGUGGAGAACAGUUUAAUAAAGAUCUACACAGCAUUAGUUUGACCUCCUCCCCUGUUCUACUCAAACCUCCUGGAGAUUCAGUGAAACUAUCUUGCCAAGUCUCUGGCUAUGCCCUGACAGACUAAGGUACAGGUUGGAUACGACAGCAGCCAGGGAAAACAUUGGAGUGGAUUGGGAUAAUCUGAGGUGGUGGAUCCAUCAACUCUGGAGCCUCUUUUAAGAGCAGAUUCACCAUCUCCAGAGACAGUAGUAAUGUACUG
RNAcentral lists this long non-coding RNA (713 nucleotides) under Salmo salar (Atlantic salmon). RNAcentral's name for it is "lncRNA (ENSSSAG00000085073.1)". The record is from RNAcentral. Lineage: Eukaryota; Metazoa; Chordata; Actinopteri; Salmoniformes; Salmonidae.